RNAcentral lists this long non-coding RNA (168 nucleotides) under Cricetulus griseus (Chinese hamster). RNAcentral describes it as "lncRNA (ENSCGRG00000026351.1)". Lineage: Eukaryota; Metazoa; Chordata; Mammalia; Rodentia; Cricetidae. The record is from RNAcentral.
AGGUGACCUGAGCAUCAAGAGAUACAACAGUAAAAUUAGAGAUCUGACUGUGCUGGGCCUGAGAUGUCUGAUAGCCACAGAAAGUAAACUGGAAGGACCCCCUGCUACCCCCCAGAUAACCAAUAGUUCCUCAUUUCUUCUUCAGGUAUGCAGACACAUAUUCCAUGA